AGAUGAUUUUAGUGAAUCAACUAUUAUAGUUGAGUCUAUUUUGUCGAGCCUCAUAGAUUCGGUUAUUUGUAGAAAAGAUCGUGUGUCUGUGGAGAACGUGGUUUCUGGGAAACGAGACGGGAAUGUACAUUGCAAUUACAAAUACAUCAAUCCCAGUUAUCCGCCAUUAAUUCAGAAAAUUAUUGCAGCUAGAACACCGCUUGACAACUUGAGUGUGACAAGUCAAACGGAAGUUAUGAUAGAUAUUUUGAAGAAAUCCAAAUAUCAAACAGUU
Non-coding RNA from Hydra vulgaris (swiftwater hydra), 274 nucleotides. The record is from RefSeq and is a predicted model, not a curated record. Lineage: Eukaryota; Metazoa; Cnidaria; Hydrozoa; Anthoathecata; Hydridae.